This 506-nucleotide long non-coding RNA is filed under the name Bos taurus (domestic cattle). RNAcentral describes it as "long non-coding RNA NONBTAT019822". The record is from RNAcentral. Lineage: Eukaryota; Metazoa; Chordata; Mammalia; Artiodactyla; Bovidae.
UGACAUGGUGGACCAAACUUUAUAACAACCAUAUUUGCCGCUGUCAGGCCACAGGCUUCAGUGGCGCCAGCUGUAAUUACGGCUGAUCACCUCUAAUUCAGAGCUGCCUGCCUUGAUAAAGGUGUCACUGGAGCAACUGUGGCAUCAGUGUCGAUCAGGGGUGUCAUGCUCCAGGCAAACUGCUGGAGAAAGCUCUUCCCCUCUCCAGCCCCCAAGGUCAGGAGACUUCUGGGCAACCCUUGCUUUUUAACUUUUCACCCUGAGUUUGGCAAUAGUCCCUAACGCUCUGAUUUAAACUCCAAGGGACUCAGAUGAACAGCCCUGUCCCCUGGCAGCAGAUACCUUUAAUAAACUAAGAAAUCUCUCUGAAAAGAGUUUAGAAGUUGGGAUCUUCUCUGCUUGACAACAUGUAAAGAAACAAAAUGUUUGUAUCACCUAUUUAAUUCACUGAUCGCAAAAAGGGAUGAGAGGCAAUAGGCUUGGGCAAAAGCUACAAAUAUUUUUGG